Molecule: long non-coding RNA, 2217 nt
Organism: Microplitis mediator
Lineage: Eukaryota; Metazoa; Arthropoda; Insecta; Hymenoptera; Braconidae
Exons: 3
Source: RefSeq, a predicted model, not a curated record
GAAAGUUUCUCUGAAGUUUGUGUUAACUCUUUAACAUCAACUCUUACACGCAACUUAGUGUCCGAUUCCGGCAAUAGAUUUACGCAAAGUUUCUCUUCUAACUUGACGUUAACUUUCGAUCAGGUGUGCUAUCUGGGAUAAAUUUUAUUACGUCAAUAUAAUCUAUUUUAUCAUUUUUAACAAAUGAUUUAAUAGACUCUAUUUGGUUGACAUUAAUAUUUCUCUCUCUAAGAUAAUAAAAUCAUAUGGUAGAGUUAAGAAAAUAUUUAUUUAAUGGACAACUAAACUAUUUUGUGGUGCCAACAAAUCCAAUUAUUAGAGCAAAAUAUUAUUAUAUUGACUCUAAUAAAUAUUAAUUAGACACAAAAAAAUAUAUUCGUUUAGAAUAAAUAGAUAUAUUUGUUUGAGGUUAAUAAAUAUAUAUUUGAACCUAAUGAUUAUUGAUUUAAAAGUUAUAGUGUUAGGCAGCAGCAGCUGGAGUAGUUCGGUGCUCGCCACUAGAUCGCGCCCACCAUUUAUGGUGUCCCUGAAUACUCUUGAUGUCAUUUAUUUUCCAAUAGCAAAAACUAUGAAGUUUAAUGUAACUAAAACUUAUUCUGCAAAUUUAUUAUAUGUAAAACGAAUUGAUGAUAUUGGUGAUAAUCCAGCACAAAGUGAAUCUCUCUUCUCGGAUCUUUGCAAUCAUUUUAAAUUGAAAAUCAAAAACACGAUAAAAAGAUUUCGUACAGAUUUAUAUUUUGCUUGGAAAAACGAUCUCAAUAGUUUGAGAACAAAAAUUAUUAAACAAUUGAAAUCAAACCAAGAUAACUCAGUGAAAGCUUCUGAAAAUUCUUAGCCGAAUGCUCCAUUAUCAAGCACUGAACAAGAUUUAACUGAUGCUAGUGAUGCCAAUAAUAAUACGGGAGAAUUGAUUCGGCAGUUAAGCCGUCAGUUCAGUAACUCAUCGAAAUCUUCUGAAGAAACAAUAGAUAAAACUACUAGUGAUGAUGGUACAACUAAAAUAAAAAAUAAUUACAAUUAUAUUGGCACAUUAGUUGUUCCUUCCACUAAAGUUGUGCACGAUGAAUCGAUAAUUUCCGAUCUAGUUCAUCAACAUUUACGCGAGUCAUUACCAAAGAAGUUUGAUAUCAAUUGUUCCAUUAUUUUUACUGGCUUCAAGUCAUGUCAAGAUAACCAUUUUCGUGAUUACACACAAAAAAAGGAAUUCUUGGGUCAAGAAGAAAAUCGUUUCCAAAAAUAAAUUCUUAAAUUAAAAUAUCCUCUUUUCUUGUUUGAAAAAAUUUUCUCUUGUUUCUCCGAACAAGAAAACAACUUGGUUGGCUCAAGAAAAUUUAGCUCUUGGUUUUAGAAGAUACCAACUCAUUCUAAAAACAUCGUUCUCUCGAAUGUAGUCGAUAUCGAUUCAUUUCGAUACAUCGAGUUUUUAAACGGAGGCACAUUUAACUUACUCCAAGUAAAAAUUAAUUUAUUUAAAGAUUUGAUAACAUUUAGUUCAAAAUAAAUGUAGACUUUAUCUGAAAACAAUUAAUUUUAGAUUAAAAAAAUAAAAAACUCAUUUUAAAACUAAAUUAUACAUUAACGUAAAAUAAAAAAUACUUUUAUUUUAAAAUACAAUAAUUCAGUUCAAUUUUAAAUUAAUUGUUUUUAUUAAAAAUUCAAUUUUCAGAGUAUAUACAAUUAAUCAUCAAAAUAUAUUUUGAUUCUUUAUUACAAUAAAAAUUUUUUUUUUGUUACAAAAAUAAAUGAAAGGUUAGGUUAUUUAUCCUGGCUCCAUCGACAGCAUCAACUGCAUGAUAUAUACCACACUAAAAAGGAAACAAUUUUAUAUAAAUUUAGGAUCAGAAAUGAUAACAAACUUGAGUAUCUGAUAUGAUUAAAAACAGCAUAAAUAAUAAUUAACUUACUUUUUUGUGAUUGAAACGACACCAUUUAACUUAACGUGAAUCAGGAAAAACACCAGAUAUAAUGACUAAUAACUACAAUAACUUACAUUUUUACCGAACACUUCAAUUCAAAACAAUUUAUGUAUAUGAAUUAGUUAAUUGUAUAAUUAAUAAACUAAUACUAUUAGAAUAUUGGUGUGUAAUAUACAUAUAAUUGCACAUAUGCGGCGCCAGCGCUGAACAGACUCGUUUCAUUUUUUUGGGAUCUUCGGGCGUCUACGUGCAUACACAAAGUAGUGUCCGAAGUAGAGAAGCUGCAUAGACUCGAGUGCUC